CGGCUAUCGAAGUUGGAUCCGAUGAGCUUGUCAUUGUCCAACAGCGAAUGGAGGAAUAGUGUGUUGGCUAUAACUGGAAGGAAAAAAUAUUAGCCUAUUAGUAUAUGAAUUAUUUUUUAAUUUUGAAAAUAUGAAUUUUAGUCUAAAGGUCCUCCCACCAUUUUUUGUGAAUUGGUAACCUCUACCUCUAACUCGAAGAAUUACAUUAAUUCUUUAGCGGGUACUAGAAUCCACACGAACUGUAUCCGGAUCCAAGUGUGGCUCAGCCAACCCUAGUGUAUCCAUGGGUAGGUUCGUAACCAAUUGUUUCUCCAAAUAACUUCUAGCAUUGGGUUUUGCCCCAGACCUUCCUUCAGCAGGCGUGUGGCGUCUCCACUGAAAAUCCUGGUUAGGUCCAACCAUUAACAUGACACAUCAAGUACAUCCAACAAACAGAUGUCCAGACCCGAGUGUGGCUCGACCAAUCUGGCAUUGAUCUGAAGGUACAUUAUGAUGGUCAUAUGAUAAAUGACAAUUCUAAUAUAUAAUAGACACCAGGCGUGUGGUACCUCCAAUGCCUAUUUGGAAUAUUAGACUCAUUAUCACACACCUUAAUGGGAGGUAAUGACCAAGUUAUCUCAUAACUUUAUCACUUUAUGGACCUAAUAAUUUAGAGAAUUUGAUUUCAUUGACCUGAGAAU
RNAcentral lists this long non-coding RNA (680 nucleotides) under Elaeis guineensis (African oil palm). RNAcentral describes it as "long non-coding RNA (EGUI_LNC050024)". The record is from RNAcentral. Lineage: Eukaryota; Viridiplantae; Streptophyta; Magnoliopsida; Arecales; Arecaceae.